GAUGAACGCUAGCUACAGGCUUAACACAUGCAAGUCGCGGGGCAGCAUGGGGGUUGCUUGCAAUCCCCGAUGGCGACCGGCGCACGGGUGAGUAACGCGUAUCCAACCUGCCCUUCACCACGGGAUAACCCGGCGAAAGUCGGACUAAUACCGUAUGUUGUCCAUUGACGGCAUCCGAUUUGGACGAAAGGUUUGGCGGUGAAGGAUGGGGAUGCGUCCGAUUAGCUGGACGGCGGGGUGACGGCCCACCGUGGCGACGAUCGGUAGGGGUUCUGAGAGGAAGGUCCCCCACACUGGAACUGAGACACGGUCCAGACUCCUACGGGAGGCAGCAGUGAGGAAUAGUGAUCAAUGGGCGUAAGCCUGAACCAGCCAAGUAGCGUGCAGGAUGACGGCCCUAUGGGUUGUAAACUGCUUUUAUGCGGGGAUAAAGUGGCCCACGUGUGGGUUUUUGCAGGUACCGCAUGAAUAAGGACCGGCUAAUUCCGUG
Molecule: ribosomal RNA, 490 nt
Filed under: uncultured bacterium
Lineage: Bacteria
Description: partial 16S ribosomal RNA
Rfam family: Bacterial small subunit ribosomal RNA
Source: RNAcentral